Molecule: non-coding RNA, 217 nt
Organism: Arachis ipaensis
Lineage: Eukaryota; Viridiplantae; Streptophyta; Magnoliopsida; Fabales; Fabaceae
Source: RefSeq, a predicted model, not a curated record
AUACAAAAUCAUCCUCCAAGAUACUGCAGUUAUUUAAUUGAUCUGCCCUAUUUCUAUCCAAGGAACAAGCUUUUGCCUUCUUCGAUUCCGCCUGCUGCUCUUCUGCCCUGUGCUAUCCGGUUCUGCCCUAAUUUCCACCUUAUUGUGGUUUAUUGGCUAAGAUAAAGUACUGUUUAGAAUCUUUACAUGUAUGGUUGACUAAUGACUUUAUUUAGAA